This 575-nucleotide long non-coding RNA is filed under the name Manihot esculenta (cassava). Its description in RNAcentral is "long non-coding RNA (MESC_LNC008781)". The record is from RNAcentral. Lineage: Eukaryota; Viridiplantae; Streptophyta; Magnoliopsida; Malpighiales; Euphorbiaceae.
UCUUGGUUAUCAACAAUUUACAACUGCAGAUAGUGGUGAAGAAUCGAAUCCACAGAGAAUUGAUUACCUAUUUAUUUUUCUCAACAAGACCAAUAAACUGAAACAAUGAGAUAAACCAAAAAUGAGAUAAACUGAAAGCGGAAUAAAAAUAAAUUGCAGUAAAAGUAAAAUGGGGGGUUUGAGAUUGAUUUGAUUAAUAAACUACUAAAAGCAAUUAAAAUAAGCGAAUAAUAAAAUAAAAGAGAAAUAAAUAAUAAGAAAGCUCUAGUUGAAGUAUUGGAUCCACUUUAGUCGUUGGGAUUGAUCACAGACACUUUGUUCUUUUGGGUUGAUUCAAUAGAUUAGUUAUAGAGAUGGAAGACGCUUCUCACCACCAUUAUCUCUCCUUAUUAUUAAAUUAAUUAGGGAACGUCCUCUAAUUAAUUACUAAUUAACAAAUUGCCAAGGAACGUCCUUGGGCCUUAGGCAUCAAAACAAUUGUCAAUUGCAUUAAGAAAUAGAGAGACCCAAUCCUAGCUACCCAAACGUAUGGAGAUAACGCUAGAUCAUACAAUUUCCUUGGGUUUUAUCCCAAG